GUGAGUGUGUGUAAGAGUGAAGAGAGAAAGAGGAGCUGCAAGGCAGCAAGAGAGAUGGGAGUUGAGUGAUUAUAUCCUCCUCCAUGUAUUUAUUGUAUCCUUUUUCAAUCUCUAAAUAAUAUUGACUCUUUCCCGUGGAUGUAGGCGGUUUUGCCGAACCACGUAAAUAUUGUGUCUCUGUGUGCUUCUCUUCCGUUGAGCAAUUAUCAGUACAUCACCGGUCGCCGGAUUCCGCCCAACACCUGGCUCCAAAAUGCGUCCAAGAUUACAAUCUUGUUCCUUACCAUCACCCUUCUCAAUAGAAUUCGGUUUCUCAUACUAUCAUUCAGAUGAGUUUUUUCAACAUUUCCACUGACUUCCUCCAGAUUUAGCUUUUUUUCAACCAUCACUUUUUUUUCUCCGACCUUCUCCAAAUUGAAAUCUUCUCCAGCUGUUGAUUUGUUUUCCACACAGACUUCCUCUAUUUGAAUGCCAUCAUCAGCGACCUUGUUGACAUAUUGUUGUCCAAUUCAUCUUGAGCUGGUUCUUGAGAGUCAGAUAAACUCUUGCAUACUAGGUCUUGAACAACCACCACAGCCAACCUGGCCUGGCUGGCAUGGUUCCUCUUCCGUGG
Molecule: long non-coding RNA, 613 nt
Filed under: Populus tremula
Lineage: Eukaryota; Viridiplantae; Streptophyta; Magnoliopsida; Malpighiales; Salicaceae
Description: long non-coding RNA (PTRE_LNC002815)
Source: RNAcentral